Long non-coding RNA from Lates calcarifer (barramundi perch), 1243 nucleotides. RefSeq lists it as uncharacterized. The transcript has 3 exons. NCBI's taxonomy places the organism in Eukaryota, Metazoa, Chordata, Actinopteri, Centropomidae. The record is from RefSeq and is a predicted model, not a curated record.
GUAAAUUUGCUUAUACAGAAUGACCCGUUACAGAAUAAUCUAUCAUAUUACAUCUGAAUUGACUGGUUCAUUAUAUUUUGUAUCAAUUAAUUAACAUGAAUCUGAGAAGUAACUAGUAACUGAAGUUGUCAGAUAAAUGUAGUGGAGUAAAAAGAACAACAUUUCUCUCUGAGAUGUUGUGCAGUAGAAGUACAAAGAGGCAUCAAAUACAAAAAACUCAAGUACAGUAAAAGAUAUGUCAAAAUCAUACUUAAGUGCCAUACUUGAGUAAAUCUACUUAGUGACAUUUCAUAAGCAAAACCAUUAAUUAUAAAAGGUUGGGCCUAACCCACUGUAGCCUACACACAGAGUGGAUAUGUAACAGUAAGAAUAGCAAGCAAGAGCUGGCUCAGCACAUUCCGUGCACCAUGAGUCAACUUUUGUGGCUCCACCUCCAAUUCUCCAUCAUUACUAUUGCAGAUGCUCUUGCACUGUAAUGGAAAAAAUUAUCUGAAACAACUCUGUUUCACUAAAGCUAGACCCAUGACGGAAAAUAGAUGCCAAGUGAAAAGGUGGGGUCAUCAAACAUCAAAGGAAGUUGGCAAGUUGUUCCCUCUUAUGUGUGGGAGUUGUAGUGGCAGAGCAGAAAACAAAAACCAGCCUUGACUGGAGUGAGAGACCACAGACCCAUCUCACCUCAGGAUGACAGGGUGGUCAGUUUUUCAGAGGUGGUGUAGGGGCCACAAUGGAGCGAAGGUUUGACCUCAGCUUGAAGGAUCUGAAUUCGUCCUCCACAUGUGAAGAGCUGACUGAAGACAAGAGGAGCUGAUGCAGAAAUGAAUGGAGUGAUGUGAUGUCAUUACCCCUGCUACACCUUUUCCUGGGGCAUACAAUGGUUGGUCCGCGGUCCUUCAGCUGUCCCCACAUAAAGCCCCUCCUCAUGGCAUGUGCGUCGCCGUCUCUGCGCCAGGCGUUUUCAUGGUCUGCUUCUCUUUCUUUUCCCUCGGGAGGUUCACACGAGAGACUGUCCUGUGCAUGUUUGAGACUGGUUUUGCGGAGUGUAUGCCCAAACUUCCACGAUGUUGACGUGUUGUAUUUUCUUGUAUUUUAAUCUUAAUAGAUGUUUACAACAAAUGCUUACACCACUUAUUAAUUUUGGGCUGCCUUUGUGAGGCUAAUGUGAAAGUCAUUGGUGCAUCAGUCAGAAAACAUCAUCGUCAUUUUCAUUUAAAGUUCAGAUUAAAAUACAGAUUAUAUCAAACAA